GCAGUUGGAGAUGCGCUGUGGCGGCUCUUCCUCGCUGCCGUGGUGGGAUCCACUCGGCCGUCAUGAGAAGCAGAAUCCACAGCUGCGAGAUGGAGUCUACUCGAAUCUUGAAAAGCAGAAUCCACAGCUGCGAGAUGGAGUCCACUCGUAUCUUGGGAAGCAGAGUCCACAGCUGCCGAUGCUGCUGCUGGCCGCUACUGCUAGAAGCCGCCUCUACAUACGCGCCGUACAGGAUUCCCGUAGGCAGUUCUCGAUGCGCUGUGGCGGCUCUUCCUCGCUGCCGAGGUGGGAUCCACUCGGCCGUCCUGAGAAGCAGAGUCCACAGCUGCGAGAUGGAGUCUACUCGAAUCUUGAAAAGCAGAAUCCACAGCUGCGAGAUGGAGUCCACUCGUAUCUUGGGAAGCAGAGUCCACAGCUGCCGAUGCUGCUGCUGGCCGCUACUGCUAGAAGCCGCCUCUACAUACGCGCCGUACAGGAUUCCCGUAGGCAGUUCUCGGUGCGGUGUAGCGGCUCUUCCUCGCG
This 522-nucleotide unclassified non-coding RNA is filed under the name Dermacentor andersoni. RNAcentral describes it as "uncharacterized LOC126546284". Lineage: Eukaryota; Metazoa; Arthropoda; Arachnida; Ixodida; Ixodidae. The record is from RNAcentral.